Molecule: ribosomal RNA, 1322 nt
Filed under: Cellulomonas fimi
Lineage: Bacteria; Bacillati; Actinomycetota; Actinomycetes; Micrococcales; Cellulomonadaceae
Description: bacterial SSU rRNA
Rfam family: Bacterial small subunit ribosomal RNA
Source: RNAcentral
CGUCUGGAAAGUUUUUCGGUCAGGGAUGGGCUCGCGGCCUAUCAGCUUGUUGGUGGGGUAACGGCCUACCAAGGCGACGACGGGUAGCCGGCCUGAGAGGGCGACCGGCCACACUGGGACUGAGACACGGCCCAGACUCCUACGGGAGGCAGCAGUGGGGAAUAUUGCACAAUGGGCGCAAGCCUGAUGCAGCGACGCCGCGUGAGGGAUGACGGCCUUCGGGUUGUAAACCUCUUUCAGCAGGGAAGAAGCGCAAGUGACGGUACCUGCAGAAGAAGCGCCGGCUAACUACGUGCCAGCAGCCGCGGUAAUACGUAGGGCGCAAGCGUUGUCCGGAAUUAUUGGGCGUAAAGAGCUCGUAGGCGGUCUGUCGCGUCUGCUGUGAAAACCUCAGGCUCAACCUGGGGCUUGCAGUGGGUACGGGCAGACUAGAGUGCGGUAGGGGUGACUGGAAUUCCUGGUGUAGCGGUGGAAUGCGCAGAUAUCAGGAGGAACACCGAUGGCGAAGGCAGGUCACUGGGCCGCAACUGACGCUGAGGAGCGAAAGCAUGGGGAGCGAACAGGAUUAGAUACCCUGGUAGUCCAUGCCGUAAACGUUGGGCACUAGGUGUGGGGCUCAUUCCACGAGCUCUGUGCCGCAGCAAACGCAUUAAGUGCCCCGCCUGGGGAGUACGGCCGCAAGGCUAAAACUCAAAGAAAUUGACGGGGGCCCGCACAAGCGGCGGAGCAUGCGGAUUAAUUCGAUGCAACGCGAAGAACCUUACCAAGGCUUGACAUACACCGGACAAGUGCAGAGAUGUGCUCCCCGUAAGGUCGGUGUACAGGUGGUGCAUGGUUGUCGUCAGCUCGUGUCGUGAGAUGUUGGGUUAAGUCCCGCAACGAGCGCAACCCUCGUCCCAUGUUGCCAGCGGGUUAUGCCGGGGACUCAUGGGAGACUGCCGGGGUCAACUCGGAGGAAGGUGGGGAUGACGUCAAAUCAUCAUGCCCCUUAUGUCUUGGGCUUCACGCAUGCUACAAUGGCCGGUACAAAGGGCUGCGAUACCGCGAGGUGGAGCGAAUCCCAAAAAGCCGGUCUCAGUUCGGAUUGGGGUCUGCAACUCGACCCCAUGAAGUCGGAGUCGCUAGUAAUCGCAGAUCAGCAACGCUGCGGUGAAUACGUUCCCGGGCCUUGUACACACCGCCCGUCAAGUCACGAAAGUCGGUAACACCCGAAGCCGGUGGCCCAACCCUUGUGGGGGGAGCCGUCGAAGGUGGGACUGGCGAUUGGGACUAAGUCGUAACAAGGUAGCCGUACCGGAAGGUGCGGCUGGAUCACCUCCUUU